This 1502-nucleotide long non-coding RNA is filed under the name Cyanistes caeruleus (blue tit). Its description in RNAcentral is "lncRNA (ENSCCEG00000006282.1)". The record is from RNAcentral. Lineage: Eukaryota; Metazoa; Chordata; Aves; Passeriformes; Paridae.
UCUCUGAACUGGGAUAAUUAUGAAGUUAUAUCAGUUUGCCAUGGCUACAAGUCUGACCCGGAUGAGCAGAAAUGAAAAUUGGACAUGAAAACCCAAACUUAGCAUGCUUGUCUUCAUGCAUGAAGGAGCACCUGGCAAUGGGCUGGAGGGAGAAGUCCUUGAAGCUGGAAACUGAUUAACUUUGGGAAUCUGACUUCAGCUGUCUGAGGACAGGCAACCAAAAGUGCAUACUGCAAACCUAGCUGUCACUCCAGGAGGCUGUGACCAACGAGUGAGGAGGACUCUGAAUAUGAGGAGGAUGCCACCAGCCAGAUGCUAACAACAUACACUGCAACACAGGCUUCAGAGAAAAGGAGAAAAAAAGAAGUUUCAGCACUCCCUGGUUUUCCUUGCUGAAGUUUCCGGAAAGUUAGCAACUUCCUGAUUUGUUAAUUUAAGAAGAAAAAAAAAAAAUCUACUUUUUCUAAAAGAAGAAAAUUAUGCACCAAGAACAACUUCUCAGUAAGGGUUCUGAGUUGGAUGCCUUCUACAGAUCACUGGCACAGCAGUAUGGAGAAGCUUGUAUGAAAGCUGUCUGCACAAGCCCAGCUCUACUCACUGCUAAAAGUUAUUCUUUUAGAAAUUUUUAGAAAGAAAAUUAAAAACUUGCUCAGACAUAUCCUUUCUGAUGUUUUUGGAACAUUCUGUGCCACAGAUGUGGCCAGGAACAAACUAUGAGUUAUAUCAUUUAGGACUAUUCCCAAAUCAGGUUGGACUGGGCUUUAAAUUACAUGAAUUCCUUCAGCAAAAAUUCUAAGGCCUGGCCAGACCAGAAGGACAUACAUUAAUAAUAGUGAUAAGCUCCUCUCUGCAGCCAGUUUGUAAAUCUGUGUCCAACAUUACCAGGCCAGUAGUAAUGUUGUGAAUGAAGUUAUUGUGUUGAAUCUGUUCAUGGAGCAUGCUGUUCUUGUGCCAUGCCAUUCCUCCAGUAGACUCCAUCAGCUGCCAGGCAAGAGGAGUUCAUAUCUGUAGAGAGUGAGAUGCCAACCCUCCCUGACAUGGGUUUGGAGAUUGUGAUAAAAGAGAAGGGAAAAAAUACCAAAUGAGCGCAUGGGUUAAUGGCUGCUAUUUUAGUCUCUUGGGGACACUGCCAGCUGCCAUUAAGUCAAAGUAGCCCUCAGGCUCUACUUGGUUUCAUGAUGAAUAAUUUAGGCUUUCCUGGUGCAGAGCCAGGUUGCAUUGGCUUUAUAUGAUAGAUUCUACAGAUCUCCACUGUGAGCACAGGAGUGUAAAUAUAUGGUGGCACAUAUGGGUGUGAUGGAUCAGCCUCCUGUGUUCUGUCCAACAGCAGCAGCAAUAAUAUUGCUAUGAACUGGAGAUUCUGUAUAACCUUACAAAUGUCCUCCUUGAGAUCUUGAUACUUUGGUUUGGUGGAACUUACUGCCAGUCAAAAAUCUUCUUUGGUUUUAAGGAGUCAAAAAUGGGACUGGACAUUUUUCUACCCAUUGAAAAAAGUGGUUCAU